RNAcentral lists this unclassified non-coding RNA (282 nucleotides) under plant metagenome. RNAcentral's name for it is "partial contains small subunit ribosomal RNA, internal transcribed spacer 1, and 5.8S ribosomal RNA". The stretch from base 235 to 282 matches the Rfam family "5.8S ribosomal RNA", at positions 1 to 49 of the family's 154-position model. The record is from RNAcentral.
UUUCCGUAGGUGAACCUGCGGAAGGAUCAUUAUUGUAUAACCGAGGUGCGAGGGCUGUCGCUGACCCGAAAGGUCGUGCACGCCCGAGUGCCCUCACACACAUCCAUCUCACCCCUAUGUGCACCACCGCGUGGGUCCCCCUUUGGCUUGUUCGGAGGGGGGCUUACGUUUUCACACAAACUUUGUAUGCAGUGUAGAAUGUAUUUUUUGUUUUUGCGAUCACGCAAUCAAUACAACUCUCAACAACGGAUCUCUUGGCUCUCGCAUCGAUGAAAACGCAGC